AUGAGCCCAACACGUUGGGUUUCGGUGGGGACCACGCAAGGCAUCAAGCCCAAAGCAGGUUGGGAUCUGGUUGGUGCCACCAGGAGCACCCAGACGCUGGUAGGACGGGAUCCUGUUAGUGCCACCCAAACCGAUGGGUGGCACCCACGGCCCAAAGCAGGGCAAGACUCAGCCCCCACCAUGGUACUCCCAGUAGGUGCUACCACGUGGAGGAACCACCACGUGGGAGGACCAGGUCCAGAGGGGACCAUAAGGAGCACUCAUCCUGCAGCAGUGCUGGAUCUGGGUGGUACCAUGGGGAGCGCAUAUCCCACAGCAGAACUGGGUCCUGAAGGUCACAUCGGGGUCACACAUCGUCCAACAAGACUGGAUCCAGAAGGCAGCACACGGAGUGCACGUCCUGAAGCAGAACUGGGCCUGGAUGAUACUGUAUGGAGCACACGUCCCACAGCAGAACUAGGGCCAGGUGGUACCACCUGGGAUCCACGUCCUUCAGCAAGACCAGGUCCUGAAGGCCCCAUGAGGAGCACACGUCCUAUGGGUGCAGAACUGGGUGCAGAAGGUACCAUGAGAACACGUCCUGUGUCAGAACUAAAUCUGAACAGUACCCAGAGGGGUUCUUCAGCAGAACCAGAUCCUAGAGGCAGCACACAUCCUUCAGCAGAACCAGGGCCAGAAAGUACCAUGUGGAGCACACAUCCUUCAGCAGAACCAGGGCCAGAAAGUACCAUGUGGAGCACACAUCCAACAGAAGAACCGGGUCCAGAAGAUACCACGAGGAUCACACAUCCCACAGCAGAACCAGGUCCAGGAGGUAACACGUGGAGCACAAAUCCCACAGUAGAACCAGGUCCAGAAGGUACCAUGAGGAUCACACAUCCCACAGCAAGACCAGGUCCAGGAGGUACCACGUGGAGCACAAAUCCCACAGUAGAACUAGGUCUAGAAGAUACCAUGAUGAGCACCCAUCCUACAGCAGAACCAGAUACAGAUGGUGCCAUGUGGCACACGCAUCCAACAGCAGAACCAGGUCCAGAAGAUACCAUGACAAACACAUAUCCCACAGCAGAACCAGGCCCAGGAGGUAUCAUGAUGAACACACAUCCCACAGCAGAACCAGGUCCAGGAGCUACCAUGAGGAGCACGCAUCCCACAGCAGGACUGGAUCCUGAAGACAACACACAGAGCACAAGUCCUGCAGCAGAAUUGGGCCUGUUUGAUAUCAUAUGGGGCACACAUCCCACAGCAGAACCAGGUCCAGGAGGUACCACAUUGGGUGUUGAACUGGAUACAGAAAGUACCAUGAGGAGCACACAUCCUGCAGCAGAACUGGGUCCAGAAAGUACCAUGAGGAGCACACAUCUUCCAGAAGAACUGGGUCCAGAAGGUACCACAUGGAGCACACAUCCUCCAGAAGAACCAGGUCUACAUGGCACCUCGCAGAGUGCACAUUCUUCGGCAGAACUGGGCUUGGCUGAUACCUUACAAAGUGCCCGUCCCACAGCAGUUGUUCCCACGUGGAGCACACACCCUUCAACAGAACCAAAUCCAGACAGGACCAUGAGGAGCUCUCAUCCUGCAACAGCAUCAGGUCUAGAUGGUACUACGUGGGGGACCAAUUCUUCAGAUGAUUUUGAUCUCAAUGGAACCACGAGGAGCACACAUCCUUCAGCAGAAGCAGGUCUAGAAGGCACCAUGGAGAGUACACAUCCCAAAUCAGAACCAGGCCCAGAAGGUACCGUUUGGAGCACACAUCCCACAACAAGCCCAGAUCCAGAAGGUGCUGGCGCAGGCUUGGGCCUCACUGGGGUCUCUGUGCCCCCCACCACAUCUCCAUCACCCCCCUCAUCUCUGCCCCCCACCCUGUGGCCAGCCAGCCCCCCUGCCCUUGCAGUCCAACAGGGUCCUGGCUCCCAGCGCCCCACAGAGCCCCCCAGCACCCAGGAGCCACCAGCACCCAGCCAGUACCCAGAGGAGACCCCCAGCACCCACGGACCCCUAGAACCCACCCAGAGCUCCCCAGGGAACCCCAGCACCCAGGGACUCGCAGCACCCACCCAGAGGCCCGAGGGGACCCCCAACACCCAGGGACCCCCAGCACAUACCCAACACGCUGUGGAGACACCCCCUGCCUGGAUGGAGCUUGUGCUCCACCAGCACCCCCCUGCAGAGCCCCCCAGCUCCUGGAUGCCCCCAGUCCCCUUUACCCAGACCCCACCAAGGACCCACAGCCCCCAGAGCCCCCCAGCACUCACCGUGCUCCCCCCAGGUGCCACCAGCCCUUACACGCUUGCUGCCCCCUCAGAGCAUCCCAUGGAGCCCCCCAUCUCCCAGAGCCCCCCAGCAUCCCCUCAGCACCCCGUGAAGUUGCUUGGCACCCCAACCCCCCCAGCACCCCUCCAGAACCUCACUGACACCCACAGCUCCAAGAGCCCCUCAGCACCCCUCCAGUAUCCAACAGAGCCCCCCAGCACCUGGACCCCCCCAGCACGCACCCAGCACCCCACAGGGACUUUUGACACCCACACCCACCCAGCACUCCCCCAGCAAUCCCCAGAGCCUCCCAGCACCCAGGGCCCACCAGCACCCCCACAGCAUUCUGUGGAGACCUUCAGCACCCAGGGACCCCCAGCACCCCCCCAGCACACCAAAAAGUUGCUCAUCACCCAGAGGACCCCCCCAUACUCCCAGCACCCUGUGGAGACCCUUGGCACCCAGCAACCCCCAAUCCCUCCCCAGCAUCCUGUGGAGACCCUUGGCACCCAGGGACCCCCAUUACUCCCCCAGCACCCUAUGGAGACCCUUGGCACCCAAGGACCCCCAGAACCCCCCCAGCACCCUAUGGAGACCCUUGGCACCCAGACCCUUCCAGUACCCACAGAGCUCCUCCACAUCCCCCCUGACAGCCCCAUGCUGCCUGGGCCCCCAUGUGCAGGUAGGUCUAUGGGAUGGGAUGGGAGGGGGCAGCAGUUCUUGCCUGGGACCCCUGAGAUGGGCUUGGGAGGGCUCCCAGUGCUGGGGGGUUGUUGAGGGGCGUGGGACUGGGGGGGGCACAAUGACACACACUGUGUCUCUGCUUCUCUCCCCACAGGUCCAGCUCCAGCAGCAGUGCCAACAGCCCCCUCAGUGGGGGGCCAGGGGGGUCCCUGCAUGGCCCCCCUGCUGCGGGUGCUGCUGUGGGAGGUGCGGGGGCUGCGGGGGCAGCUGCGGGCCCUGGCGCGUGCCCAGCGGCGGGGGGCUCAGCGCCUGGAGGCUGUUGCCCGCCGCCUGGGCCGGCUGUCUGCCCUCGGCCAGCACCUCCUGGGGGCCCCCCCCCAGCUCUAUGGGGCCAUGGGCACCCGGGGGGGUCUUUGUAGGGGCUGCAAGUGAAAUAAAGCCGGGCUGGUUCCCCAAAUCCUCUCGAGCAUUGUUUUUUUUUUUUUUUGGGGGGGGGGGGGUAUGGGGACUGCACCCACUGUGGUCCUGGGGAGGGGGUGUUGGGCACCCCCCAGCCUGCUG
Molecule: long non-coding RNA, 3498 nt
Filed under: Anas platyrhynchos (mallard)
Lineage: Eukaryota; Metazoa; Chordata; Aves; Anseriformes; Anatidae
Description: lncRNA (ENSAPLG00020007966.1)
Source: RNAcentral